This 497-nucleotide ribosomal RNA is filed under the name uncultured bacterium. RNAcentral's name for it is "partial 16S ribosomal RNA". It matches the Rfam family "Bacterial small subunit ribosomal RNA", at positions 28 to 507 of the family's 1533-position model. The record is from RNAcentral.
GAUGAACGCUGGCGGCGUGCCUAAUACAUGCAAGUCGAGCGAACAGAUGAGGAGCUUGCUCCUCUGACGUUAGCGGCGGACGGGUGAGUAACACGUGGAUAACCUACCUAUAAGACUGGGAUAACUUCGGGAAACCGGAGCUAAUACCGGAUAAUAUAUUGAACCGCAUGGUUCAAUAGUGAAAGACGGUUUUGCUGUCACUUCUAGAUGGAUCCGCGCCGCAUUAGCUAGUUGGUAAGGUAACGGCUUACCAAGGCAACGAUGCGUAGCCGACCUGAGAGGGUGAUCGGCCACACUGGAACUGAGACACGGCCCAGACUCCUACGGGAGGCAGCAGUAGGGAAUCUUCCGCAAUGGGCGAAAGCCUGACGGAGCAACGCCGCGUGAGUGAUGAAGGUCUUCGGAUCGUAAAACUCUGUUAUUAGGGAAGAACAAAUGUGUAAGUAACUAUGCACGUCUUGACGGUACCUAAUCAGAAAGCCACGGCUAACUACGUG